This 464-nucleotide ribosomal RNA is filed under the name uncultured bacterium. RNAcentral's name for it is "partial 16S ribosomal RNA". It matches the Rfam family "Bacterial small subunit ribosomal RNA", at positions 29 to 507 of the family's 1533-position model. The record is from RNAcentral.
ACGAACGCUGGCGGCGUGCUUAACACAUGCAAGUCGAACGGAAAGGCCCUGCUUUUGUGGGGUGCUCGCGUGGCGAACGGGUGAGUAACACGUGAGUAACCUGCCCUUGACUUUGGGAUAACUUCAGGAAACUGGGGCUAAUACCGGAUAGGAGCUCCUGCUGCAUGGUGGGGGUUGGAAAGUUUCGGCGGUUGGGGAUGGACUCGCGGCUUAUCAGCUUGUUGGUGGGGUAGUGGCUUACCAAGGCUUUGACGGGUAGCCGGCCUGAGAGGGUGACCGGCCACAUUGGGACUGAGAUACGGCCCAGACUCCUACGGGAGGCAGCAGUGGGGAAUAUUGCACAAUGGGCGGAAGCCUGAUGCAACGCCGCGUGCGGGAUGACGGCCUUCGGGUUGUAAACCGCUUUCGCCUGUGACGAAGCGUGAGUGACGGUAAUGGGUAAAGAAGCACCGGCUAACUACGUG